UUUAUUGUUGUCUUCUUCCCAACUUGUCUUCAACCUUAGUUUGUACUCUCAAUCAUCAUUGUGAAGCAGAAACUUACAUUCUCCAACGUUAAUUGUGUUGUGCUAUUAACGUUGAGCUCUAUCCUGUUGGAUUUGAACUCUAGUCACGAGAAGAAUGGAACAAAAAUGGAAAGAAAUAAAUACUUUAUUGGAUUACAAUCGGUGCAGAUUUGUUGUUUUGUACCUGCCUGUGGAGAUGCAGCUCAUCAUAGAGGUUGCCGCCACUCUUCUUGCAUCAAUAGGAAUGUCCAUCAAUGGUGAUUUUUCAC
This 308-nucleotide long non-coding RNA is filed under the name Arachis ipaensis. RNAcentral describes it as "long non-coding RNA (AIPA_LNC000899)". The record is from RNAcentral. Lineage: Eukaryota; Viridiplantae; Streptophyta; Magnoliopsida; Fabales; Fabaceae.